Molecule: unclassified non-coding RNA, 1464 nt
Filed under: Leishmania donovani
Lineage: Eukaryota; Euglenozoa; Kinetoplastea; Trypanosomatida; Trypanosomatidae
Description: gene:LdHU3.18.1750(CDS-product:hypothetical_prote in_conserved)
Source: RNAcentral
GCCCGCGGGCGCGCGUGCGCGUGAUUGCCUUGGUGCCGCAACGGAUCUAUCUCCUCUUGCCCCCUCGCCUCUUUCCCAAAUAUAUGCGAACCUACAUUCACGCACUUGCAUGAGGCACAGAUGCACCGGUUGCGCAUCACAGCGCUUCUCUCAAGGAGCGGCGUUGCCACGGCAGCGACAGGGGCGGCGUGGCCUUCUUGCGGCACCAUCGUGUUUCCAUCGUUUCCAUCGUGCCGUUCCUUCUGCUCCUCCGCUGCUGCCUCUGGCGUCGAGUGCCAUCUCUUGUCGAGUUCUCAUUGCUCUCCGUCCUACUCCCGAUCGGCCCCCGCUGCGCUUCUCGUGAGUCGUCGGUAUCAGCGCAGUACGUCGGCAAGGCCACACACCAGCACGUGGCAGGAUAAGACACGCAGAUUCGAAAAGUAUCAAAAAGAUCAGCAGGACGAGGCAAUACGUGCGGCUCAGAGGCGGGCAAAGUACGCAGCAGGGGCUGGCGCCUCAGCCGAUACGUCUGUGUCUUCUACCACAUUGUUUGCGAAGUCGUCGUCCGCGACGGGGCCACUCACAAAGCCGCCUGGUGGCUUCUGGAGCUUCAUCAAAGGCGGCCGUGAAGGCCGCAAGAAGCAGCCGAUGAACCCUCUCAUGUACUUAGACAAGUGGAAUGAGAAAUCGAAGUACGACCCCGAGGCUCGCGCGGCAGAGCGUCUACUGGCGGCGAUCAAUGGGCUGAAUAAGCGCAACUCGCGCCGCCGCGAGUCGAUGACGGUGCAGCUCUCUGAUGAGCAGAGGCAGGAAAUCGUGAACCGGUACGCCUCGACACGGUGGUACGCGCGGCUAUACGCGCCCUUCCGGGGCAUGACAGAGCGGCGUGUGAGGUGGGGCAUUCGUAUUUGCAAUGUGGUGCUGCUGGUCCUCGUCUCCUGCCUCAUCGUGGUCAUCGUGGUCAGCUACUUCAAAGAAAUGGACGCCGUCGCGCAUCUCUCGCCAGAGGACCAGCGUGACUACGCCUACAUGGUGCGCGGCAUGCGGUACAGCGACAUCUACAAGCUUGGCGCGGAGGUGUUAAAGAAGGAAGACCCUCUCGAGGCGCUGCCUCCAGCGGUGCGGCUGCACAUGGUGAUUGAGGCGUGCCGGCAAAGGAAGUGGCACGAGCUCGACUGGGACGUGGAGCUGCGCAGGAUGCACCCCGCGUCUCCGCUGGAGGAGUGGGACUAUCUUCAUCUCUUGUACUGGGGAAUACUGCAGAUCGGUUCCCUGACCGGCGGUGGUGGCGUCAUGUUUAGCGAUCGCGUGCUCGAUGUGCGCGAGGUGCGGCACGGCAGCGCGGAGUCGGCGGAGGAGCGGGAGCGCUUUGUCGAGAUGGGGCCAACGUCGCUGCCUGCCAGGACGCAACGGACUUUUUUCUGACGUGCAUGUGCCUCUUUCGACGAUCACCGUUGUGGUGACACGUGGAUCGCACAGAGAUGG